This 253-nucleotide ribosomal RNA is filed under the name uncultured bacterium. Its description in RNAcentral is "partial 16S ribosomal RNA". It matches the Rfam family "Bacterial small subunit ribosomal RNA", at positions 524 to 776 of the family's 1533-position model. The record is from RNAcentral.
UACGUAGGGUGCAAGCGUUGUCCGGAAUUAUUGGGCGUAAAGAGCUCGUAGGCGGUCUGUCGCGUCGGCUGUGAAAACCCGGGGCUCAACCCCGGGCCUGCAGUCGAUACGGGCAGACUAGAGUGCGGUAGGGGAGACUGGAAUUCCUGGUGUAGCGGUGAAAUGCGCAGAUAUCAGGAGGAACACCGGUGGCGAAGGCGGGUCUCUGGGCCGAUACUGACGCUGAGGAGCGAAAGCAUGGGUAGCGAACAGG